GUGCACCUUCGGUGCACGACGGAGAAUGGAAAUCGGUUGCGUCGGAGUGAGCGAGAUGAUACGAUCAGGAACGUAGCAAGGAACGCACCUUUCGUUGAGCUUGUUCGAAAGUCUUUCGCUGAGCGAGAGAUAAUUGGGUAAUGCGCCGGCUUUUUGCGACAUCGCGCGGUAAGUUUCGAUCUCCGCUUCGAUGGAAAUGUCUGUAAACAUAACCUCUACGGAUACACUGAGAAUGACGAUUUUUUGGUCUUGUCAUGAAUGUUGUUCAUGAAUGGUCGUUCGUAAUUGAUGAUCUCGACGUGAUUGAUAGAGGGUAAUAGAAGUGAUAUAAGGUCUGCGGGCCGAUGUCCGGAAUCCUUUAAUCCAGCGUAAACUCGUAAAGUACGAAAAUUUGCAAACUUCAAAGCGCAUGGGAAUGAGCAUGUAGCAUUCAGCAUUUUUACUCUAUUAUUGUAACGUGAUAAAAUCUAACGAUUGUAUGACGUACUGCGGGUGUUCUACUUAUGAACGAGCGAAAUAUCGAUGCACGCAUGUGCUGUGUUAAAGUCUAAGCUGUUGUACCAAAGGUGAACGUUUAUUACCUGGAUCCUGAACGGUUGGGUUAAUCUGAGGACAAGGGUUUAAUGCCCUUGGGUUCUUAUGUCUUCCGAGAGGAUUUUAGGCUGACCUGCCAAAUCUUGAUUAAACGUAAUCAAGAUUAAACGUAAUCCGUCAAUGAAAUUGUCAACAACAAUUGCUGGUUACGUCACUUAUUGUCCAACAGUAACCAAGGAAUUAAUCAUCCUAUAUAUAUAUAUCAGUAAAAUAGGUGUAAUACUUGACUGAGCAAUUUCACUGGCUGAGUUAAACGUUGAUUGGCGCAAUUGGAGUGUAUGAUAAAAGCGAAACCUUCAGACAUCAUCGCUUGGACCGUAUCUUUUGCGCGACAAGAUUACGCGGAUGGCGAGUACGGUCCUGUGUCGUUCGAGUUGGGAAGUGCGCGUCGGCGGCGCCCUAUGGGCGCCAUCGUGCCGCGCACGAUGGUCGACAACGGUUCAGCUACGGCAAGCUUCGAGCAGCCGCGAGAUCUCUCCUUUUCCCCUUCUUUUGCGCUUUUCGGAGCCGCGUGCGCGUUCGUGCGACGGAUCGUGAUACUUGGACGCGCCCGGACCCUCCGUCCGAGGCGAGUCGCGGAGCGUCGACGCGACGCGACGCGGCGCGGCGCGGCGUGGCGGCCUCUUGGAAAGGCGCGAAUGUCUAUGCGCGGCGCGUCACCGUGAAAUCUAGAACCCGGCUAGAAUCUGGAAUCUUUCUUCGCUCGAGAGCGCACGGAUAGCGGGAUACACGCGAUCACAUUCACGUGUUUUUCCCUGGUACAUUUCAGCGUUCCUCCCGUAAUUGCGGCAAUUACCGCUAAAUGUCGCUGCGAAUAUCGGCCUGUCCGAGAGCUUUCCGAAUGGAACGAACUUCUAAAAGAAGCCUGAAAGUUUCAGAUGUCUCUUGAACGCCCUUAACAUGUUAUUUAUUACCAGCAUGAGUCACCGGUGCAUGCAUGGGCCCUCAUCGUCAUAAUAUAAGCCAAGUUUGUUUAACAAAUAACAUAUUUCAACAGAAUUGUAAAAGUAUCUUAUACUCAUGUUCAAUUUUAGAGUUAAAAUUUUCAAUCGCCUGACAGCAGGCAGUUCAGUUUUCGUCAGAAUAGAACGUGAACCACGAGUGAUUCCACGAGUGUGGAAUGUGUUAAAGAAUCUUUGAUGAUCUUUUGAAGUCGUACGAAAUGUCUCAGAGGAUAUCUGAUGAAAUUGGCUUCUAUUGUCCGCCUUGACAGAACCUUGACAGACCGCGUGAAAUCGCCUGAAUCUACCUGAGCGGACAUAUUCAUCGAUUCAACUUGAGGUCUUUCAAAUCGCGGCUGGGUGAAGAACCUCUCGUGGUCUUUUGCGAAUUAUAUUUCACUAGAUACAAUCGCUACAUGAUCGUUUUCUUGCAGGGGCGGCGCGGCUGUAGGAGAAAGAGAGAGAGAGAGAGAGAGAGAGAGAGAGAAAGGAAGGAGCGAACUUUUUGGCGGGAAUCGGAAGAAAACGCCGAGUGUGCGCAAUUGAACGCUACAGGGGUGUGCAUCACGCUGCGCUUUCAAGUAGCAACACGCGGCGCAUGCCGUCAGCGCGUCGUGCGACUCGGCACGGCGUGACCUGUUACGACGACGUGAGGGCGGCUCGCUACCUCUUUCUGGCCAGCAACAACCUUUUCACGCUUGAGUCGAAACCGAAUGCGCCGCGUCGGUAUCACGUCCGGCCGCGGUAUCGAUUUCAGACAGUGCGAAAAAUCCUUCUCCUGGCGAGAUGCAGCGCACGACACGGAGUUAAGAGUGCGUUCACUCUGCACAAUUGUAGAAAAAUGGAAGGCAGGCGAGUCGAGAGUCAUCACGAUAGGCGAAUCUUGCUCUGCCGGCGUGCAUUUGAUGCGGGGGAGGAUCCAUCGGAGGGGCACGUCAAAGGCGACACUCGAGGUGGCGGCUGCGGGAAAACAGUGUCAGGUGUCGUCGAUGACGAGUACGGUCCUGAAGUAAGGUCCGUUUCGUCCUUAUACGCACACGCGGGGACGGCAGGCACUGUGGGGGCCUAGUAUAACAAAGAUUCAUCGGGACCGGUUUCGUGUGCCGCCUUUCUUACAUUCCCCGAAGAAGCCCCGUCGAGCCGCGGGUGUGAAAACCGACACCCACCCACUUGUUAUUUUGUCAAACACGAGCCCAGGAAAUUAUAGGAAUCAUACGCUAACUCGCGUCUUCUGGAACGCUCUCGCGGGGAAUUAGUCUCGGCCGCCACGUGUCGUUGCGUGUCCCAUGCGAAAAAUUGCACGGUGUAACGCGUGUAAUUCUAUCAAAAUAAGCAACAGUCUGGCUAAUUAUAUUUUUACACGCAUUAUACAACGCGAAGAGGACAUACAUGCGGAUAAGUAAAUGUGUUGUGUGUGAUGCAGUUGUAUGCGUGUCAUAUUUUAAGCCUCGUAUGUAUACUUGUUUUGUAAAAUAACGUUUCCAAUACGUUCCCUUCGAAACGUACUUUGAAACAGAGCACAUUUUCAAUCGGGGAAUUUAUUUUUGCGUAAUCUCUCAGCGCAAACUUCUAAAAAGAUAUUUAUACGGACUUUAUUCAAAAGAUGUCUUACUGUUUCUUGAACGUUCUUAGAGGUUUCUGUUUUUAGAAGCUUGUACUUUUAAAUAUCUUUUUCUCUUACAAGUUUUUGUUGUCUGGAUACUGUUCACUGAGCGUUAGAUGCAUUUUGCACUAUGAGAGGUGUGUUCAGAUCAUUCUGCAAACGAAUUUUACACUUUAAUGUAUGGUGUAUGACGAUCAUUAUAGUUGAGUUGGCACUUUGUAUCGUCAUAAGAAAAUGUGUGUACUAAUCAAAAUUGAACGAUCGUGUCAGUAACGAGACAGGCCGGUGGCGGUAACGCUUACGAGUAUCGUUGCGGCCGGGAGUUUCGCGUGUGCGUUAUUUUCAGUUGACGCGGGGAACUUGCCCGCGAACAGUAACGAUAAUGCGGCAUAAUACGAUGCAAAGCGCGCGUCGAUCUAAUAAUAAUGUCGCGAAAUGAUAGGGACACACGUAUUAUGACACCUAGCCACUUGUCGUUUCGCUAAAUACGAUCCCAGAAAAUUAUAGGAAUCACGUGUGUGGCGACGCAUCUCCUCUCGCUCUCCGAGAGCCGGCUCGCGCGCUCACGCCAAAUUAUUCUCGAUUGCACGCUCGCGCUACAUUUUAUAACCGUCAAUUAAAAGUGACACCGGACAAUUGCUGUUUGUG
Molecule: long non-coding RNA, 3786 nt
Filed under: Harpegnathos saltator (Jerdon's jumping ant)
Lineage: Eukaryota; Metazoa; Arthropoda; Insecta; Hymenoptera; Formicidae
Description: uncharacterized LOC105189603, transcript variant X2
Source: RNAcentral